Molecule: ribosomal RNA, 409 nt
Filed under: uncultured organism
Description: bacterial LSU rRNA
Rfam family: Bacterial large subunit ribosomal RNA
Source: RNAcentral
GGACAGAAAGACCCUAUGAAGCUUUACUGUAGUUUGGAAUUGGGUUCGGGCUCUUCUUGCGCAGCCUAGGUGGGAGGCUAUGAAGAUAAACUUUUGGGUUUAUUGGAGCCAACAGUGAGAGACCACUCUAGAGGAGCUAGAAUUCUAAUGGCGUUCCUUGAAGCAGGACGCUUGACAGUUUCAGAUGGGCAGUUUGACUGGGGCGGUCACCUCCUAAAAGGUAACGGGGGUGUGCAAAGGUUCCCUCAGGCUGGACGGAAAUCAGCCGUAGAGUGUAAAGGCAGAAGGGAGCUUGACUGCAAGACCUACAAGUCGAGCAGGGGCGAAAGCCGGCCUUAGUGAUCCGACGGUUCCGAGUGGAAGGGCCGUCGCUAAACGGAUAAAAGUUACUCUAGGGAUAACAGGCUGA